This is a long non-coding RNA of Erigeron canadensis, 623 nucleotides long. RefSeq lists it as uncharacterized. Lineage: Eukaryota; Viridiplantae; Streptophyta; Magnoliopsida; Asterales; Asteraceae. The record is from RefSeq and is a predicted model, not a curated record. The transcript has 3 exons.
CAAGAAACCCUAAUCUGAUUACAGCCCUUCCCUCCAGCCGCCACCAGCAUCCCUCCUCCGGCCAGCACAGUCUCUACACAAAGGGUAAAAAAAAAGAUGAAUCAAACAAAAAGCAAUGGAUUCAUUGAAGAAGAAAAGAUAGAUAGGCAGAUUCUCUUAAUGAUUGCAACUGCACUAGGUUUGGAUUUCACGGGCCAUGAAGAUUUGUGUACAUAUUAACAAUUUGUAGAGUCCAUCAGUUCACUUUCAUUUGUCCACAGGUGUACAUAUUAACAAUUUGUCCAUAAUGGGGCUAGAACUCGAUCAUAAGUGGCGGAUUGACCGGGCGCACAUAUCUUUAGUGUUAAAGAUGCAGUGGACAAACUAACCCAUACUUGUAACCCAAUAUUGUUUGACCCUGUGCAUUUUAAAAAAUUGUAUUUUUGGACAAAAACAUUACAUGGAGAAAAAGGCAUGCCUGUGAAAGCCGGAAAGUAGUGUUAUGAGUUUAUUUUACCUGAAGUCUCGAAUAUACCAACUUUCUUGUAUCAUCAGAUAUAGUGAGUAGACACGCAGAGUAUCCCGAAAAUAGAUUGAACAAUUAUUCAACUCAAGAAUAAACACCUCCAAGGUGGCCUAAUGGC